CUACGAAGGGUGCAAGCGUUAAUCGGAAUUACUGGGCGUAAAGCGCGCGUAGGUGGUUCGUUAAGUUGGAUGUGAAAGCCCCGGGCUCAACCUGGGAACUGCAUCCAAAACUGGCGAGCUAGAGUAUGGCAGAGGGUGGUGGAAUUUCCUGUGUAGCGGUGAAAUGCGUAGAUAUAGGAAGGAACACCAGUGGCGAAGGCGACCACCUGGGCUAAUACUGACACUGAGGUGCGAAAGCGUGGGGAGCAAACAGGAUUAGAUCCCCUGGUAGUCCACGCCGUAAACGAUGUCGACUAGCCGUUGGGAUCCUUGAGAUCUUAGUGGCGCAGCUAACGCAUUAAGUCGACCGCCUGGGGAGUACGGCCGCAAGGUUAAAACUCAAAUGAAUUGACGGGG
RNAcentral lists this ribosomal RNA (396 nucleotides) under uncultured bacterium. Its description in RNAcentral is "partial 16S ribosomal RNA". It matches the Rfam family "Bacterial small subunit ribosomal RNA", at positions 523 to 918 of the family's 1533-position model. The record is from RNAcentral.